This 266-nucleotide ribosomal RNA is filed under the name uncultured archaeon. RNAcentral describes it as "partial 16S ribosomal RNA". It matches the Rfam family "Archaeal small subunit ribosomal RNA", at positions 717 to 982 of the family's 1478-position model. The record is from RNAcentral.
ACACGACUACAUUAGAUACCCGCGUAGUCCCAGCCCUAAACGAUGCGCGUUAGGUGUAUCGGUGACCACGAGUCACCGAGGUGCCGAAAGGGAAACCGUGAAACGUGCCGCCUGGGAAGUACGGUCGCAAGGCUGAAACUUAAUGGAAUUGGCGGGGGAGCACCACAACGGGUGGAGCCUGCGGUUUAAUUGGACUCAACGCCGGGAAGCUUACCGGAUAAGACAGCGGAAUGAUUGCCGGGCUGAAGACCCUGCAUGACCAGCUG